CCAUUUUUCUCCGCCGCUAAAGAAGAAGAGAAGAAUUGAUAGCUAGGUUUGCUCUCGUGUCUUCUCUUCUCUGCUACCAACUUGUUCGUCUCUUCUCGAUAUGUUGUUCUAUUAAUGGAUCUGUUCUAUGAACAAAAGUUUUUUUAGUUCAAUUCUUCUUUCGAUUUUGGUUCAUAAAACCAGAAUUCCUUCUUUCGAUUUUCGAUUUUGGUUAAGAACAUGGAGAAGAUUGAACUGUUGUUAAGUUCACGAAGAAGAAUUAAAGGGUUGUAGAAGACGGAGGAGCUUCUCAACAACCAUGUCAGCGAAAUAGGGAGAAGAACUAGAAAAUAGGGUUUCUGAGUGACAUAUAUAUAUAUGAUUUGUGCAGCGAAAUAAUGGGGGAAAAGAUGAAAUUGAAGAUGGAUUAAGCUCAAUUCGAGGUUAGAUUUGAUUUAGAAAGAAAAUUUUGAAUGAUGGGGUUAAUGAUGAAUGUUUACAAGUUCCAACUAUUAUCUCCGGUUCAGGUUAAUAAUUUUAAUGGAGUCGAAUUCAAUUGUUUUGGAAUAGCAUAGGGUGGUGAAGAUACAAAUUGAAAUGCUGUAGACCUCAAGUUUUUGCAGUAAAGACCAAUGUGCAGUCUCCUCAAUCAAGCCAACAAAAAGUUCUGAAGAGGAAGAGAAUGUUUAUUUCUAAUCAGUUCAGAACCUCCGGUUGACGGCUUGACGCUGAAACAGUAAAGAGAAUGAAGAAGUUAAUAGAAGAAACAUCACAUUCAGUAUCUUCGAGUGACAUUAAGAAGGAUUGCAAAUUUCGAGCUAAACAGGGGCAAUGUCUAAAGUUGUAAACACGGCCAAUUCACUGGAAAAGACUGAGGUAUCUGAUAGGGCUAUACGAACACCUCUAAAGAAGUUAGAAGAAGGUCCUAGUUUUGAGUAUUCAAAAGAUGUUAUUGAACCGAAGAUUCUCAACCAGAUAACUCAGUGGAAGGUUACUGGGACCUUGUUUGAUCUAUCAAAAUUAGGCUGUGGGAACAUCUACGUUGGAUGACCUGACGCACCAUUAGUUGGUGCACAUUUUGAGUCUGUAAUACAGACACACCAGUCAGCGCAUUUGUUCAGGAAAGAUAGUGAAUAAACUGGUUGCAGAUGUUAAUAGGAUGAAUGGGUUGGUAACAGAUCUCCAAAUGUUUGCUCUCAAGACGCUUCAGAUACCAUUACCAGGACGACAUCCCCCAUCCGCAAGCCUGUCAAAUGGGCAUCCUAGUCCAGGGACAUACAAGACUGUUACUUCAUCGACUGACGCGGAGAUCAGGAACAGUCCAUGAAUGGAAGAUGUUGGUAUAUAUGAAUGGGUGACUGAUAUACAGGUGCUUGUUUUUUUGAAUAUAAGGGAAUGGGAUGAUGCAUUUUUUUGUUUUCAUGCCAUCAGGGGUGUUUAAAGUUUGUCCCAAACUUUACACAGGCACUUUAGAUGUUUUUAAGCUUAGUUACUACCUUUUUGAACUCUCUGGGUGUUAUUCUAUUGCCCAGAUUUCUGAUUCAAAAACAAUAAUCUUACAUAUAUGCAAGUUUCAAUGUAAAACUUUGUUAUGAAUGCAAGUUUCUAUUAUUAA
Molecule: RNA transcript, 1594 nt
Organism: Papaver somniferum (opium poppy)
Lineage: Eukaryota; Viridiplantae; Streptophyta; Magnoliopsida; Ranunculales; Papaveraceae
Exons: 7
Source: RefSeq, a predicted model, not a curated record